UAACAACCCAUCUCGCCCAUUCCACCAUUUGGAGCACGAACGAGGAAUGCUUACAGUCGCCUUCCUUGUAUCUCCAGUGAGCAGCGAAGCCGAAUUCCGCUUGUACAUGCAUCUCUCGGGUUCGGAUCUGGACUUCCAGCGGGAGGGAGUCUUCGCUCAGGACAACCGUGUGUAGCGAUCGGUACCCAUUUAAUUUGGGAUGUGUUAUGUAAUCUUUAAACCGUCCGAGAACUUCAGGCCAGACUUGAUGUACAACCUUCAAUGCUCUAUAGCAAUCUUCAUCAUUCUCAACUAUCAGGCGUAAACCAUGUAUGUCAUGGAUUUCG
This 326-nucleotide unclassified non-coding RNA is filed under the name Hevea brasiliensis (rubber tree). Lineage: Eukaryota; Viridiplantae; Streptophyta; Magnoliopsida; Malpighiales; Euphorbiaceae. The record is from RNAcentral.